CUGCUGCCUUCCGUAGGAGUUUGGACCGUGUCUCAGUUCCAAUGUGGGGGACCUUCCUCUCAGAACCCCCUAUCCAUCGUUGUCUUGGUGGGCCGUUACCCCGCCAACUAACUAAUGGAACGCAUCCCCAUCCAUACCGAAAUUCUUUAAUAAUCCA
This 157-nucleotide ribosomal RNA is filed under the name uncultured bacterium. Its description in RNAcentral is "partial 16S ribosomal RNA". The record is from RNAcentral.